UUAAUCUGCUUCCUUGCUACCUCAGGAAGAUAAGAUUCAUUCUUCAAUCUGGUCUAUUGCUAUCUCAGAGAGAUGAGGCUGGUGAUAAAAUUUGCUCCAUUGCCAAUACAUGAAGAUAAGAUUCACCAUUCUUGAUCUGCUCCACUGCAAUCUCAGUGAAAUAAGAUCUUCAAAUCUCAGUCUGCUUCCUUGCUACCCCAGGAAGAUAAGACUCAUUCUUCAACCUGCUCUCUUGCUACCUUAGAGAGAUGAGGCUGGUGAUAAAAUCUGCUCCAUUACCGAUACAUGAAGAUAAGAUUCACUAUCUGCAAAAAUCUGCUCUGCUGCAACUCAGAGAUAUAAGAUCUUCAAAUCUCAGUCUGCUUCCUUGCUACCUCAGGAAGAUAAGACUCAUUCUUCAAACUUUCCUUGCUACCUCAAGAAGAUAAGACUCAUUCUUCAACUUGCUCUCUUGCUACCUCAGAGAGAUGAGGCUGGUGAUAGAAUCUACUCUGCUGCAACUUUAGGGAGAUAAGAUCUUCAAUCUUCAGUCUACUCCACUGCAACCUCAAGGAUAUAAGACUUGUUAUGAUCUACUUUACUGUAACUGGCACUUCAACCUGCUCCA
This 607-nucleotide long non-coding RNA is filed under the name Gossypium barbadense (sea-island cotton). RNAcentral describes it as "long non-coding RNA (GBAR_LNC007756)". The record is from RNAcentral. Lineage: Eukaryota; Viridiplantae; Streptophyta; Magnoliopsida; Malvales; Malvaceae.